UUGGAAAGCGAAAUCGGGUUUUUUGUUUCCCUUGCCAAUGGCGCACCCUCGCUGGAGUUUGAGACCGAAAUGUUUGUGAGACUGUCCGGCUGUGACGCAGGGGCUGGGAAUUGACCGCAUUCUGCUGCAGUUCAUGCGGGUGUACUCGGAGCAAGGAGGCGACGACUUAACGCGACCACCUCCAAACAGCCCCCCCCCCCAGCAGCUCAACACCACAAAGACAUUUUGAGCAUAUUCAGAAAAAAUGCAUGCGGUACUUCAGCCCCUUUGGGACCAGCAGUGGUGACCACCCCGCAACCACACAGACGAGACUGACGUCUCGACUGUUCCAACGGUGUUGCCCUGAUCAACAAAGCUCCUCGAGACAAUGAAUAAAGUUGGCUUACACGUUUGGAA
Hippocampus comes (tiger tail seahorse) is the source of this 396-nucleotide long non-coding RNA. RefSeq lists it as uncharacterized. The transcript is spliced from 2 exons. NCBI's taxonomy places the organism in Eukaryota, Metazoa, Chordata, Actinopteri, Syngnathiformes, Syngnathidae. The record is from RefSeq and is a predicted model, not a curated record.